Molecule: long non-coding RNA, 720 nt
Filed under: Sinocyclocheilus grahami
Lineage: Eukaryota; Metazoa; Chordata; Actinopteri; Cypriniformes; Cyprinidae
Description: lncRNA (ENSSGRG00000038909.1)
Source: RNAcentral
AAAACAUAUUUGCAGUCUACCUGCUGCAGUGUGCAGAUGUUGAGGGCGCAUCUACAUUGAGCACAGCGGUAGUGGGAGGGCCAGUCUGUCAUCAUUACGGGAAGAAACAUUCAUUUUUCAGCCAAACUCUAUCGCAGUAUGUUGAAUAUCCACACAUCGAUACAGCUGACGCUCUGCGCUUGUUUGCAUGACGGCUUUUAGGAAGGGAGUGUGAAAUAAGUCGCAGUCAGCCGGUAUUCACAGCACACAGCAAUGAGCACUAGGACAGGUGGUAAAAUUCUGAAAUGACUGACUACCUUAAAAGUGCAGCACUAUUGCGGUCUAGGCCCUUACACACUAAAGACUAGCGCCGACAGUCAUGAGAACUGAAGUUGUUAUUCUGCAGCAGCCGAUGUCUGUGUGUGUACCACCAAACCAUGAGGUGACCUUAAGAGUUCAAGCAAUAGGCACUGGUGCAUUAAAGUAUCAGUGGUUUGAUAAACAACAGGCAGAGGUGGCAGGUGGGACAGAGCCUGAGCUCACCGUCUCUCUCCAGAGAUCUGGAAAAUAUACUUGUAGAGUGAGUGACCUGUACUGUAACUAUCAGUUCACAGAAUGGGUAAAAGUGAGAAUCCUAGAUGAAGCAGGUGUUUCUCACACAUGGAGAGGGGAACCCCAUAUUGUCAUUCACCCAAUAAGCCAAACAGUAAAACCAGGGGAGACAUUCACUCUUAAAUGCAC